UCGAACGAAGCAGUCUUGGUAGCAAUAUCGAGGCUGACUGAGUGGCGUAAGGGGCAGUAAUGCGUGGGUAACGUACCCCCGGGUUCGGGAUAGUCAUGGGAAACUAUGAGUAAUACCGGACGAUGUCGCGUGCGACCAAAGAUUUAUCGCCCGGGGAGCGGCUCACGUCGUAUUAGCUAGUUGGUGAGGUAACGGCCCACCAAGGCAAAGAUGCGUAGCGGGUGUGAGAGCACGACCCGCGCCACUGGCACUGAGACACUGGCCAGACACCUACGGGUGGCUGCAGUCGAGGAUCUUCCCCAAUGGACGCAAGUCUGAGGGAGCGACGCCGCGUGCGGGAUGAAGGCCUUCGGGUUGUAAACCGCUUUAGGGGGGGAGGAAGCCGCAAGGUUGACCUAUCCCCAAAAUAAGCACGGGCUAAGUUCGUGCCAGCAGCCGCGGUAAGACGAACCGUGCGAACGUUGUUCGGAAUCACUGGGCUUAAAGGGCGCGUAGGCGGUUGGUCAAGUCAGGGGUGAAAUCUUUCGGCUCAACCGGAAAACUGCCUUUGAUACUGACUGGCUGGAGGGAGAUAGGGGUUGCGGGAACUACCAUUGGAGCGGUGAAAUGCGUUGAUAUUGGUAGGAACGCCGGUGGCUAAAGCGCGCAACUGGAUCUCUUCUGACGCUGAGGCGCCAAAGCUAGGGGAGCAAACCGGAUUAGAUACCCCGGUAGUCCUACCCUUAAACGAUGAUAACUAGGUUGUGGACUUGACAUGGGUUACAGCCGAAACAAAAGUGC
This 780-nucleotide ribosomal RNA is filed under the name uncultured Planctomycetota bacterium. RNAcentral's name for it is "bacterial SSU rRNA". It matches the Rfam family "Bacterial small subunit ribosomal RNA", at positions 62 to 860 of the family's 1533-position model. Lineage: Bacteria; Pseudomonadati; Planctomycetota. The record is from RNAcentral.